This 18-nucleotide ribosomal RNA is filed under the name Chrysozyma griseoflava. RNAcentral's name for it is "partial 26S rRNA". Lineage: Eukaryota; Fungi; Basidiomycota; Microbotryomycetes; Chrysozymaceae. The record is from RNAcentral.
UUAGACCUCAAAUCAGGA